AUAAACAAAACAAAAACCAAAAACCAUCGAAAUAGUAGCAACAUGGGUUUAUGAAGCAAAUGGAAUGAGCCUUUAGCCCAAUGAAACCCAAAGGAGCAACCAAAAAGUGGAUUUCAGCCCCCCUCAUGCUCAAACUCGUGUGUUUAUCAUCUCUUUCUCCCUCAUGUCUCGUGCCGUCUACAACAAGCCUCUGCCGCGCCGGAGCUCAUCGUCGGUGGCGACGGAGAACAACAUGCCAACACCUUGUUUCUGACCGUCACAUCUUGCUCUACAUGAAUCCAACGACUAUUUUUCCAAAUCUCCACUCGAACAUACAAAUAGAUCUUUAAAUAGAACUCGGUACCUUUGAAGGAAACGUUCAGGGCCGUGUUCUGCUGCAUUUUUGGACUGAUAUGUGAAGCAACAGUCCCUUAUCUGUGAAUAAAAUGGUCCCCUAACUCUUUGUCUUGGAUGAUGUUUAGUUAUGGCUAUAAUACUUGGUCAUGGUGAAGAACAUAAACAAGGCUUGAAGCAGCAUCUUGUCACAAGGGAAGUUUGGUCUUGGAAGAAACUUACAUGCUUGUAAUUCCUUAGGUUUUAGGUUUGUAGUAUUGUAAUAACUUUGACAAGUCUUGUAAGAUUCAAUGUGGUUUUAUGUAACAAGGUUCUUGUAUGUCUUUUAGAAAUUAAACAUAACUUGUUUUUGAAGUAAUGAACUUGCUUUAUGAUGAAAUAAAAAUCAUGUUUAUUUA
Molecule: long non-coding RNA, 731 nt
Organism: Lathyrus oleraceus (garden pea)
Lineage: Eukaryota; Viridiplantae; Streptophyta; Magnoliopsida; Fabales; Fabaceae
Exons: 3
Source: RefSeq, a predicted model, not a curated record